UCGAAGCGGCUGACCACGGCCUGGACCCAUUCCACCGGCCUGUGCGCGGCCAUGUCCUCCCCGCGGCCGGGGGGCGGCGGAGGGAAGGGUGGGCCGGCGCCCUGGGCCGCGAAGAGGGCGGGGAGCGGAGGCUGAGAGACAAGGUCUGACUCUGUGCAGUGGAGUGCAGCGGCUCAGUCAUAGCUCACUCCAGCAUCAGACUCCUGGGCUGAAGUGAUCCUCCCACCUCAAACUCCUGAAUAGCUGGGACUAUAGCUGGGCAUGGUGGCAUGUGCCUGUGGUUCCAGUUACUUGGGAAGCUGAAGUGGGAGGAUCGCUUGAGCCCAGGAGGUCAAGGCUACAGUGAGCUGUGAUGGUGUCAUUGCAUUCCAGCACUCCAGCCCGGGCAUCACAGUUAGACCUUGUCUUAAAAAAUAAAUAAAUGAAUAAAUAUAAAUAAAAAAUAAAAAGCUUUUA
Molecule: long non-coding RNA, 456 nt
Organism: Symphalangus syndactylus (siamang)
Lineage: Eukaryota; Metazoa; Chordata; Mammalia; Primates; Hylobatidae
Source: RefSeq, a predicted model, not a curated record